AUUGAACGCUGGCGGCAGGCCUAACACAUGCAAGUCGAACGAGUGGCGGAUGGGUGAGUAAUGUCUGGGAAACUGCCUGAUGGAGGGGGAUAACUACUGGAAACGGUAGCUAAUACCGCAUACCAUCAGAUGUGCCCAGAUGGGAUUAGCUUGUUGGUGGGGUAACGGCUCACCAAGGCGACGAUCCCUAGCUGGUCUGAGAGGAUGACCAGCAACAAGGGAACAGAGACACGGUCCAGACGCGUACGGGAGGCAGGAGUGGGGAAAAUGGGACAAUGGGCGAAAGCCUGAUCCAGCCAUGCGGCGGGUGUGAAGAAGGUCUUCGGAUAGUAAAGCACUUUAAGUUGGGAGGCGUUACCAACAGAAGAAGCACCGGCUAACUUCGUGCAAGCAGCGCGGUAAUAC
Molecule: ribosomal RNA, 405 nt
Filed under: uncultured bacterium
Lineage: Bacteria
Description: partial 16S ribosomal RNA
Rfam family: Bacterial small subunit ribosomal RNA
Source: RNAcentral